UUUGCUCAAUAGCAUCUCGGUUCUGAUGGGGAACAGCCAUCAGAGGUAACGGGGAAAGCCCGGUGUAAAUCCGGCACUGUCCCGCAGCUGUAAUGAAGCUCAUGCUUCCAAGUCAGAAUGCCCGCCGAAAUUACAACUAACUC
Molecule: non-coding RNA, 143 nt
Filed under: Nostoc sp.
Lineage: Bacteria; Bacillati; Cyanobacteriota; Cyanophyceae; Nostocales; Nostocaceae
Also listed under: 1 other name
Source: RNAcentral